ACCUGGCUGGCUCAGUUGGUGGAGCAUGAGACUCUUGAUCUUGGGGUUGUGGGUUCAAACCCCGCGUUGGGUA
Molecule: transfer RNA, 73 nt
Filed under: Felis catus (domestic cat)
Lineage: Eukaryota; Metazoa; Chordata; Mammalia; Carnivora; Felidae
Also listed under: 1 other name
Rfam family: tRNA
About the family: Transfer RNA (tRNA) molecules are approximately 80 nucleotides in length. Their secondary structure includes four short double-helical elements and three loops (D, anti-codon, and T loops).
Source: Rfam by way of RNAcentral